CUGGGAAUACCUUGCCCAGGGCAGGAGAGUCUGGCUGCUGUGCAAUAACUGGGACGCCAUCUGCCUCCUCGGCGUGGGGCUGCUUGCCCUCAGCCUCUGGAGAAGUGUGAAGAGAUACAGGAGACAGGGAACGGUCCGGUGGGCCUCAGCUUCCGUGGGGACAGACCACCGGGGAAAGGACGCUCUGGAUGAUUGUGCCUUGCUCUGCCGGAUGGAGGCCAAUGCUGCUGUCGUGGUGAGGUGCCUGAAGCGCCUCUACCAGCUCCGCCUGCAAGAGCUUGGGCUCCCACUGCCGAGGAAGAAGGCACAAAACAAGCACAAGAAAAGAACAGUCCCCUUGCAUACCCUCCGCAAAUUCAUCUAGAGCGUGCACGCCGUGUACCGGUGACAGGAAAGGCAGUGCGGCGAAUUGACAGCGAGCCGGUGAGGCAGGACACACCUCAGCCCUCCGAAGGCUCCUGCCGUGAAGGCACCUCCCCUGACAACUGGAUGCCAACAUCGCCCUGAACACCUCCUCCCUGCACGGGCACCACCGACAAUGCCAGCUGUCCCCUGGUGGGCUGCCCGUGCCCUGCCAGCGCAACAGCCAGCGAGGACUCGGCAUUCAUCUCGUGAGGACCUCCGAGGAGAAGUCCCCUUUUCCAUCCUCCCAGAGGCACCGCUGGGACUGCUGGCAUCCCAAAGGACAUGGCUCUGCUUUGUUGCUCCACAGAGGACAGCAGGAGCAUGCGUGUGCAGCAGAGCUGGCUGGGGGACUCCUGAAAAUUUCUGUUGGUAGCAGACCGCUUCUCCCAGCUGAAUAAAGAUCAUCCGUACAGGAACUUGUGUCCUUUUGGUACCAAGGGGCUUGGGGCAGCAGCCACACGGGAGGCAGUGGGGCAGGUGAGGGCUGCUGCGUGUGGGUUUUAGAGAACACACCUGCAGAGGAAUGGGGGAGCUGGGCUGGGAGAGAAGAGCUGCGAGGUGCCGCCCAGGCGCCCAUGCCCCAGGAGGAGAGACCACAUCCUGGCAGGGUGCCCGUGUCCCACUGAGGUUUC
Molecule: long non-coding RNA, 1037 nt
Organism: Cygnus atratus (black swan)
Lineage: Eukaryota; Metazoa; Chordata; Aves; Anseriformes; Anatidae
Exons: 3
Source: RefSeq, a predicted model, not a curated record